AGGGCAACUCUGGCUGGGUCAUCGUGAAAUAUUUGCUAUGCCUUGCCUUCUCUUGCCUUGG
Molecule: microRNA precursor, 61 nt
Filed under: Octopus vulgaris (common octopus)
Lineage: Eukaryota; Metazoa; Mollusca; Cephalopoda; Octopoda; Octopodidae
Also listed under: 1 other name
Description: Ovu-Mir-12536_pre stem-loop
Source: RNAcentral